AGUAUCUCAGUUCACCACAAUUCCUAAUCUCCAACACUUGAAGUGCCCCCAGUGUCUUUAUUUUGGCUUCAUCUAAUCUCACGAGUCCUGACAUACCUGCAAUUUCCAAGGUAGUGAGAGAGGUGGCAUAAGACACAUUCCUGAGAACUGCCUCUUGACUUCCAAUAAUAGAUAGUGUUAUAAGAGACUGAAGCCCUUCUGGUAAAUCAACUAACUGUGGACAAUUCAGCACAUGUAGUUCUUUCAAGGAAGGC
Molecule: unclassified non-coding RNA, 254 nt
Filed under: Hevea brasiliensis (rubber tree)
Lineage: Eukaryota; Viridiplantae; Streptophyta; Magnoliopsida; Malpighiales; Euphorbiaceae
Source: RNAcentral